UUCCGGUUGAUCCUGCCGGAGGUCAUUGCUAUUGGAGUCCGAUUUAGCCAUGCUAGUUGCACGAGUUUAGACUCGUAGCAGAUAGCUCAGUAACACGUGGCCAAACUGCCCUAUAGACGGCGAUAACCUCGGGAAACUGAGGCUAAUAGCCGAUAUCGUUCACUACCUGGAGUGGUGUGAACGCGAAACGUUCAGGCGCUAUAGGAUGUGGCUGCGGCCGAUUAGGUAGACGGUGGGGUAACGGCCCACCGUGCCCAUAAUCGGUACGGGUUGUGAGAGCAAGAGCCCGGAGACGGUAUCUGAGACAAGAUACCGGGCCCUACGGGGCGCAGCAGGCGCGAAACCUUUACACUGCACGCGAGUGCGAUAAGGGGACUCCGAGUGCGAGGGCAUAUAGUCCUCGCUUUUCACCACCGUAAGGUGGUGGUGGAAUAAGUGCUGGGCAAGACCGGUGCCAGCCGCCGCGGUAACACCGGCAGCCCAAGUGAUGGCCGAUAUUAUUGGGCCUAAAGCGUCCGUAGCUGGCCGGGCAAGUCCGUCGGGAAAUCCACGCGCUUAACGCGUGGGCGUCCGGCGGAAACUGUUCGGCUUGGGACCGGAAGAUCCGAGGGGUACGUCUGGGGUAGGAGUGAAAUCCCGUAAUCCUGGACGGACCACCGAUGGCGAAAGCACCUCGGAAGGACGGAUCCGACAGUGAGGGACGAAAGCUAGGGUCUCGAACCGGAUUAGAUACCCGGGUAGUCCUAGCUGUAAACGAUGCUCGCUAGGUGUGGCACAGGCUACGAGCCUGUGCUGUGCCGUAGGGAAGCCGUGAAGCGAGCCGCCUGGGAAGUACGUCCGCAAGGAUGAAACUUAAAGGAAUUGGCGGGGGAGCACUACAACCGGAGGAGCCUGCGGUUUAAUUGGACUCAACGCCGGU
RNAcentral lists this ribosomal RNA (919 nucleotides) under uncultured archaeon. RNAcentral describes it as "bacterial SSU rRNA". It matches the Rfam family "Archaeal small subunit ribosomal RNA", at positions 1 to 922 of the family's 1478-position model. The record is from RNAcentral.